RNAcentral lists this long non-coding RNA (369 nucleotides) under Setaria viridis. RNAcentral describes it as "long non-coding RNA (SVIR_LNC004021)". The record is from RNAcentral. Lineage: Eukaryota; Viridiplantae; Streptophyta; Magnoliopsida; Poales; Poaceae.
UUGGAGUAAGCAUUUCACUGACGUCGAGGCACAUCUUUCUCAAUGUCUUGGUGAAAAUAACGUUGAGUUCACUUCUGCCGUCGAUGAGUACUUUGGUUAACUUUGAGCCUGCCACAACCGGAUCAAGUACUAGGGGGAAACGGCCUGGUUCUGAGAACUUGGUCCAUUGGUCUUUUCUGCUGAAAGAAAUGGGCACUUAUGACCAUUUUAACGGUGUUGGAUCCGUUGGUUCAAUGGCCAUGAUCUCCCUGAGUACGAGUUUGUUGGCUCGCUUGGAUGCGGUGCCUGGAAUACCAUCGAAGAUGACGUUGACAGUUUUUUAGGCGGUCUGGAAGUCGCCUUCUUCAUCUUCGUUGUUGUGGACUUUGU